RNAcentral lists this transfer RNA (69 nucleotides) under Margattea limbata. Its description in RNAcentral is "tRNA-Gln". The record is from RNAcentral. Lineage: Eukaryota; Metazoa; Arthropoda; Insecta; Blattodea; Pseudophyllodromiidae.
UAUAUUAUGGUGUAUGGUGCACAGAAAUUUUUGAUAUUUCUGGUGAUAGUUUAAUUCUAUUUAAUAUAA